AGUGAACGCUGGCGGUAGGCCUAACACAUGCAAGUCGAACGGCAGCACAGUAAGAGCUUGCUCUUACGGGUGGCGAGUGGCGGACGGGUGAGGAAUACAUCGGAAUCUACUUUUUCGUGGGGGAUAACGUAGGGAAACUUACGCUAAUACCGCAUACGACCUACGGGUGAAAGCAGGGGAUCUUCGGACCUUGCGCGAUUGAAUGAGCCGAUGUCGGAUUAGCUAGUUGGCGGGGUAAAGGCCCACCAAGGCGACGAUCCGAAGAUCGUCAGAGAGGAUGAUACGCCCAACAGGAAAUGCAGCAACGUCCCAACUACUACGGGAGGCCGCCGUGGGGGAUAUUGGAAAAUUGGCGCAAGCCUGAUCCAGCCAUAACGCGUUGGUGAAGGAGGACUUUCGGUUGUAAAACCCUUUUGUUGGGAAAGAAAAACCGCCGGUUAAUACCCCGCCGUUCUGAAGGUUCCCAAAGGAUAAGCCACGGCUAACUUCGUG
This 492-nucleotide ribosomal RNA is filed under the name uncultured bacterium. RNAcentral describes it as "partial 16S ribosomal RNA". It matches the Rfam family "Bacterial small subunit ribosomal RNA", at positions 29 to 507 of the family's 1533-position model. The record is from RNAcentral.